GUGGGGAAUCUUGCGCAAUGGGCGAAAGCCUGACGCAGCCAUGCCGCGUGAAUGAUGAAGGUCUUAGGAUUGUAAAAUUCUUUCACCGGGGACGAUAAUGACGGUACCCGGAGAAGAAGCCCCGGCUAACUUCGUGCCAGCAGCCGCGGUAAUACGACGGGGGCUAGCGUUGCUCGGAAUUACCGGGCGUAAAGGGCGCGUAGGCGGAUCGUUAAGUCAGGGGUGAAAUCCCAGAGCUCAACUCUGGAACUGCCCUUGAUACUGGCGAUCUUGAGUGUGCGAGAGGUAUGUGGAACUCUGAGUGUAGAGGUGAAAUUCGUAGAUAUACGGAAGAACACCAGUGGCGAAGGCGACAUACUGGCUCAUUACUGACGCUGAGACGCGAAAGCGUGGGGAGCAAACAGGAUUAGCAACCCGUGUAGUCC
This 425-nucleotide ribosomal RNA is filed under the name uncultured bacterium. RNAcentral describes it as "partial 16S ribosomal RNA". It matches the Rfam family "Bacterial small subunit ribosomal RNA", at positions 354 to 796 of the family's 1533-position model. The record is from RNAcentral.